GGGGGGGGCAAGCGUUUGUUCGGAAUUACUGGGCGUAAAGGGCUCGUAGGCGGCCAGCCAAGUCGGACGUGAAAUCCCUCGGCUUAACCGGGGAACUGCGUCCGAUACUGGUUGGCUUGAAGCCGGGAGAGGGAUGUGGAAUUCCAGGUGUAGCGGUGAAAUGCGUAGAUAUCUGGAGGAACACCAGCGGCGAAGGCGGCAUCCUGGACCGGUCUUGACGCUGAGGAGCGAAAGCUAGGGGAGCAAACGGGAUUAGAUACCCCGGUAGUCCUAGCCCUAAACGAUGAAUGCUUGGUGUGGCGGGUAUCGAUCCCCUGCCGUGCCGGAGCUAACGCGUUAAGCAUUCCGCCUGGGGAGUACGGUCGCAAGGCUG
This 373-nucleotide ribosomal RNA is filed under the name uncultured organism. RNAcentral's name for it is "partial 16S ribosomal RNA". It matches the Rfam family "Bacterial small subunit ribosomal RNA", at positions 527 to 896 of the family's 1533-position model. The record is from RNAcentral.